This 464-nucleotide ribosomal RNA is filed under the name uncultured bacterium. RNAcentral describes it as "partial 16S ribosomal RNA". It matches the Rfam family "Bacterial small subunit ribosomal RNA", at positions 28 to 507 of the family's 1533-position model. The record is from RNAcentral.
GACGAACGCUGGCGGCGUGCCUAACACAUGCAAGUCGAGCGAAUGAAGUUCCUUCGGGAAUGGAUUUAGCGGCGGACGGGUGAGUAACACGUGGGCAACCUGCCUCAUAGAGGGGAAUAGCCUUCCGAAAGGGAGAUUAAUACCGCAUAAGAUUGUAGUAUCGCAUGAUACAGCAAUUAAAGGAGCAAUCCGCUAUGAGAUGGGCCCGCGGCGCAUUAGCUAGUUGGUGAGGUAACGGCUCACCAAGGCGACGAUGCGUAGCCGACCUGAGAGGGUGAUCGGACACAUUGGGGCUGGGAAGCGGCCGAGACUCCUACGGGAGGCAGGAGUGGGGGAUAUAGCACAAUGGGGGGAGCGAUGAUGCAGCAACGCCGGGUGAGUGAUGACGGCCUUCGGGUUGUAAAGCGCUGUCUUCAGGGACGAUAAUGACGGUACCUGAGGAGGAAGCCACGGCUAACUACGUG